CUAGCAAGUGUGGGGAGAAGGUCGCCGGGACCUGGGCCCGAGUGAGGCUUCGUGGAGGGGAGUGGUGGCCCAGAAGCGGGGGGAAAGGGCCAGUUUCCGGAGGCUCUUCCCGCCCGGCUGGGGACGCCGCAGGCAACCUUUGCGAGGUCUUUGCAAAGGCCCAGCUGGGUCGGAGCAUCUCUCAGGAACACCACCUGCUCGCAGGCAGUGACAGCAAUGAGGACCAACGGGGCUUGGCCGGGGCGGCGGGGGGUCUGCAGGGAGAGGACGGAUGGGGCAGAGCCGGCAACCUGCCCGCAGCCCCCUGUCGCUCCCCCUGCCAAUCCAUCACGGAUCCGGGGGGCGCCACCGCCCCCCACCCCCAGUCCCGCGGCCGCUGAGUCGGAAGGACCGCCCUCUCUCAUCUGGAUUCACUCGGCGGCUUCCUACCCGCCUCCGCCCCCUGCGAGCUCUUCUCAGCAAGGCCCCGACGCAGAUGCGUCCAAGAUGCUUUUCUCUGCUUCAUGUCAUUCCGGGCGACAGCUCUGCCCCUCCUCCAGCGGCCCUCACUGCACCGCCAGGAAAUGCUAACGAGUUCGGGCAGAAGGAAAAUGAUACAAGUCAGAAACUUGGACUCACACAGGGAAAGGAAGAGCAUCAAAGGAGAAAUCAGUCGAGCCAAGCCGUUGCGGCUCUUUUUCUGAGUCUGAACUUCUUCGUGAUAAAGACAGCCGAGCGGGGAAAUGAAAGAAACAACUACGAUGAAAUGGCUCCAGGGUAAACUAUUAAGCGCCAAAGGCAACGGGCAAGAGACUGCGUGUGGAAUGAUCCCAUUUGCAUAAAUGGAAAACUAAGAAAUUUAUUUACAGUACAAGUUCCUAGAUGUGGACCUGCUGGGUCAGAGAGCAUCGUCCAGCUUUAAUUUUCAGAGAUAUUGCCAAAGUGCUCUGCAAAGAGAUCGCCCGAAACUGCCCUCUCCCAGCAGAAUACAAUUACUGUAUAAAUUGAGGGAAGACCACACUUUGCUUUGCUUGGAACUUUAUCCGCUCCUUCACCAUUUUGGACGUCACGACGCUGAUGGCAAGGCGGCUCUUCAUAUUCGAGUGCCCAGUACAGCACAUCUCAAUCGCAUCUCGGUCGAUUGUUCAGCAUCUCAGCAGCCCCAUUCAUGGCAGUUCGACAGCUCGGUCGCUCACUGGGUGACUUGGUUGCAUCUUCCGGUGUAAUCAUGCCUGAGUAUUUACACAUCGAGAGAAACACUACACAUUAGAAACUACUUUCACUUCUCGUUUACAUUAUAAUUGAGGAGUUAUAUUGAUCUAUUCUUUAAUUUGGAUUUCGUUGGUGGAGAGCCAAGGGGGUAUCAGAAAUGUUUAUUUAUAGGGGCCCCCGGGGUGGCUCAGCCGGUUAAGCGUCCGAUCGUGGUCUCACAGUUCUUGAGUUCGAGUCCUGCGUCAGGCUCUGUGCAACAGCUCAGAGCCUGGAGCCUGCUUUGGAUUCUGUGUCCCCCUCUCUCUCUGCCACUCCGCCACUCGUACUCUGUCUCUCAAAAAUAAACAAACAGUAAAGAAAAAUUAAAAAAAAUAAAUGUUUAUAAAUGACAUCGGAUAUGAUAGGGUCGUAGCAAUGGCUCUAAUCUUGGUAAUAUGCUUAAUUCUCUCUUUACCAACUUUAGCUAAUAUCUACUGGCUCUUUGAUGUGAAAGAUGAGAAUUUAUGUCACUUACAUUAUCCAUCCUCUCAAAGCUCUAAUUAAAAAAAUUUUUUUUUAACAUUUAUUCAUUUUUGAGAGACAGAGCGUGAGUGGGGGAGGGGCAGAGAGAGAGGGAGACGCAGAAUC
This is a long non-coding RNA of Felis catus (domestic cat), 1818 nucleotides long. RefSeq lists it as uncharacterized. The record is from RefSeq and is a predicted model, not a curated record. Lineage: Eukaryota; Metazoa; Chordata; Mammalia; Carnivora; Felidae. The transcript has 5 exons.